Molecule: small nucleolar RNA, 138 nt
Organism: Echinops telfairi (small Madagascar hedgehog)
Lineage: Eukaryota; Metazoa; Chordata; Mammalia; Afrosoricida; Tenrecidae
Source: Ensembl
GACCUCCCAGGAUCGCAUCUGGAGAGUAGCUAGUCUUCUGCUAAUUUCGGAGACACGAGGGAAAAUAUGCCUGUCAGAGACCCAUUCCAUUCCCCGUUUGCUCAGUAGCUGGUGAUUGGAAGAGGCUCUGUGACAGUG